UCAACUUCAAUGAUGAUAUCACUGGGUAAUCCUGUAGUACAAAACCAUGCUUGGCCUUUGGUGGUGGGGUGCUCCGUGUGCGCCAUUUUUCUUCAAUGUAACAAAGAAAGUUGAAACUUCAGUUUAUCUUUCACCAAGGAAGUCGGACUAUGAUAGAUCCAUGAAGAUAAGGUGUUUGUAAGAAAGUCUAGGUGAAAUGAUUAUGUAGGUUGAAAAACAGCAAAAAGAUAUACUGAUGAUGAUGAAAUUGAUGUGUUUUCUUUUCCAAAAAUCUCUGUCUUCAAACUUGUACCCACUUUCCUUUUGAUGAUGAAUCAGAUCAGAAUCUUCUUUUUUCUCUCUCUAGGGUUUGAAGGAAGAAGAGGAAAG
Molecule: unclassified non-coding RNA, 369 nt
Filed under: Hevea brasiliensis (rubber tree)
Lineage: Eukaryota; Viridiplantae; Streptophyta; Magnoliopsida; Malpighiales; Euphorbiaceae
Source: RNAcentral